UGUGUUUUAGGCGUGAAAUUGUGUGUACGGCCCGAACAAAUGGAUUUUGUCUGUAACCCUAAUUCUACAGACGCGAACCCAUGGAGUUCUGAUUCAAUCUUCCUUCUAUGGCGGGCAGUGACGCCUGAGCUUCAUCUCAGUCUCUGAAACGGUCCGAUUGAUGGCUUUUCAUGUUUAACUCCAUUCAUGGACUCACCCACGAUGAGUAAUUCAAUGCGUGUUUAGAUGUACAAGGUGGUGUGAUCUCGGGUAUAUAUAGGUCAAUAUUUCUCUUCUUGGAAUCAUCAUUUCUUCAUAUCUCUUAUAAUAUACUAAUAUACUGAGAUUUUGUUUCGAUUAGAUUGUGUUUUACGCUAGAUUGAGAAAUUCGAGUUAGUGUUUUAGAUGAGCCAUUGGGGUUUCUUCAGUUGGUUCAAAGAAUAUGGCCGCUUCAAUCUCAACAACACUUAUUCGCACUGUUGGAUCCUUCGCAGAUUUAGGUCGCAGCAGCAGUAUUUUCUCAGUUUUUAAGCUCUUUCUUAUAUGCAAAAACGUGAAUCUUUUUUUCUUUGAUCUCUAAUUACUUCUCUGUCUCUUUGGAACAGCGAAUGCAUCUAGAAAUUGUUUAAGCUCUCUUCCAUGUAAUCUCAAGGUUGAUGGCAGGAGUCAAUAUUUAUGCCAGCCAACCGUCGAUGUCAUCUCCUCUGUACUCUUCGCCUAUUUGAAGGCUGGCUGUCAUUACUCCGUCCGGGUCCGCCUCCUAAGCUUUUGAGAAACAAGGAAUAUGAAGCACUACGGCAAGCUUAUGGGGUUGACAUACUCCUACUCGACCCAAAGGCGGUGGUGACGGCAACGAUGGUGUUAGAGCGACCAGACUAAGUCGGAGAGAUUCUACUGUACAGUAAGCGCCAGUGAGGUUGUUAAGUCUCAUCCUGGUCAUCAUCUCUCCUCAUCUCCUCCUCUGUAGCUCUAGACGGCUCUCUCUGCAUCAUUCAAAUCAAACUACUUUGUCCUUCUGAUAGCUCUUGCUCGGACAUGCAUAUACACUCAUCUGUUCUGAAAGGUUUGGCUCCCGACAACUCUGAACCAUUACUUCGAUGGAGCCACUGUUAGCUAUUGUAGCAGAGAAACAUAAUGUUGCAGUGCCGGCCACGAUCUACAAUAGAAAACAUUCCAAAUAACCGUCAAGAGAUUUAGUUGGUGGAACUGAGGACAAAUCCCUGAUGUUCUAAGUAGUAUGCUUAAUGUAUAUUCAUCCCUGAAUAAGAUCAUGCAGCUUAGUAGAAAGGAGCAAGAUAAUCUCUUCCUAGGAACGUGAAGCAACUUCAAGUGGUCUCAUCAACAAAAAAAAAAAAAAAAACUCUGGCCCCAACAUCUACCAAGUUGACCAAGAAGACCCUCAUCGCCAAGGUGGAGUAUGCAAUAUCGACAUUAGUACCUUUUAUGCUUCUGAAUCGCUGUUGUCUUUUUUCAAUAUAUGCAGUCCACAGGAUUUAAAAAACAUCAAAAGAUACAUUAGUAGUUUUUUUUAAACUA
Brassica napus (rape) is the source of this 1515-nucleotide long non-coding RNA. RefSeq lists it as uncharacterized. NCBI's taxonomy places the organism in Eukaryota, Viridiplantae, Streptophyta, Magnoliopsida, Brassicales, Brassicaceae. The record is from RefSeq and is a predicted model, not a curated record. The transcript has 4 exons.